UUACCAGUACUAUAGAAGCUCAGGUUAUAAGAUUUUUACUUUAAUCAUUUAACCAGUCACAGAUAAAAGUAAUCUUUAAAAAAAAAAAAUCACACUGAUUAUUUACUAAAUCUUAUUUCCAAAAAAAAAAAAAAUGAAUCACUAAUUUUUUUAUUAUAAAUUUCUCAUUUUGAUUUACUAAGAAAGCAGUCCAAAAGAAUAUACUACAUAUACCUUCAUUGUUGAAUCUUUUAGAUAGAUUUGGUAAUUUUUGCCAAUUCCUCUUUUUUUCUUUCUUUCUUUUUUUUUUUUUUUUUUUUUGCAAGACUGAUUAAAAAGUAACCAUGAUUAGUCUUUUAGCUUUAUGUGACUGAUAUGUAUAAUUUUUACACUUUAUUUUAACUGAAUUGCAGUGAAGAAAUAAUACUUAUUACACUGUCUUUCUCCUGCCACCCAACUAUAAUUUUUCUUUCCUGUCCAGCUUUCUCUUUCAUGGCGUGUAGUUACACUUGGGUCAAAAAUAUUUUAAAGAUACUUUAGGCUGUGUUUUAUCCAUAAGUUAAGCAGUUGUUUUCAGUGUUAUUACCUUUCUGUUUCUUCCUUUAUCUAAGAUAGCUUUUAUAGAAGACUGUUUUUGAUAUUUCCUUCAUGUUGUGCUUUGGAUUCUCAGAACAUUGGACAGCCAAAAGGGAACUGGAGUAAAGAAGAGCCCUAUGUUGUGCGGACAGUAUCCGGUUAAAAGUGAGGGGAAGGAGCUGAAGAUAGUGGUACAGCCUGAAACCCAACACCGAGCCCGGUACCUGACAGAGGGCAGCCGAGGCUCUGUAAAAGACAGAACACAGCAAGGCUUUCCUACGGUGAAGGUAAUCAUUUUAUUUAGUAGUAUGUGAAGACUGGCCCAUGAGGUGACUUUGAGGUGAAGGUUUAUCCCCAGGAUCUGGUCAAUGGUGGGAGAAGAGAACUGGCUCUACAUGGUUAUCCUGACCACCACACAACCACACCAUGGCACACACAUGCCCCACAUACAUGUUUCUCAUGCAAAACCAUCAAAUACAUGUAAAAAUAAUACUUAUCUAUGUGAUGAAUUUCCUUCAAUUUUACUAAUUAUUUUAAGCUCAGGAAAAGCUUCCUGAAAUAGAAGGGUAGAAGUAUUAGUUAUAUAAUAAAAAAACAAAUGUCUAAUUGGGCCAUAAGCCAAGUAGUACUUAGAUAACAUUUGAAUUUUUUAUUUAUCUGGUUGAUUUUGUCUUUCUGAGAUUAUGUUUCACUAUAACUCAGGCUGACCAGGAACUCAAUAUGUUGUCCACGCCAGUCUUGAAUUCAAGGCAAGCCUCCUGUCUCCUGAGUGCUUGAAUUAUAGAUGUGAGCCAGCAUGCCUGGGUAAAUUUUGGUUUGAGAGAUGUGAGUAUGUUCUGAAAAGAAAAAAAAUAUCUGCAGGUCAUUAGUUAUCUUCCUCCUUUGUUUAAUAGUGAUAGUAGAUUCAUCCAAAAAUGCAUUAUUAAGAAGAAAUUUUAAAGUAAAUGCAAAAAAAUAGUAGAAAUUAUUAUGAACUUCACCAGGCAUGGUAGCACAUUCUUUUAACUCCAGCAUUUAGGAGGCAGAGACUGGCAGCUCUAAUAUAAAUUAGAGGCCAAUCAUAGUCUUCAUAGCAAGCAUAGAGAGUUCCAGGACAGACAGAACUAUAUGGUGAGCACUUGUCUGAAAACAUAAGAACAUGGAAAUAAGGGUUUUUUUUCCUCUUGGUUUUUGACAGUGUUUCUUGGUAUAGCUCUGGCUGUCCUGGAACUCACUCUGUGGACCAGGCUGGCCUCAAACUCAGAAAUUCACCUGCCUCUGCCUCCCAAGCACUGGGAUUAAAGGUGUGUGUCACUGCUGCUCAGCUCAGAAAAUAAGAUUCUUAAAAUUAUCAGAAUUACCUUUUCAGAACUCUGACUUAAAGUAAAAAUUUAUCACUUGGUACUUUUAUUAUAAAGAAUAUUAUUGUUUGAAAAUAGAAAAAAACCAAACAAACAUGAACUGCCAUUCAUUUCAUACUUAAAUGAAAUCAUGAUUGAAACUCGGGAUUGGGAAAUGUGUCUUUGAGCAUUUGUUCCUGUCUUACCACACUAAUCCAUCUGCAACCAAUCCCUCAAAUCCAGUAACAACCUCAAGAUAAGUACCAGGCAAGAGAGAAAUUCAGGUUUUGUUUUGUGUAUAUUUAGCUGGAUAUUUUCAUAGUUUAGUCAGUAUUUUUCAUCUGAUUACCUGCCUUUAUGUUGUGCUUGGUCUAAGUACUUACAUAUUUAUUUAUAUAUAUAUUAAUUAUUGAUUAAUUGCCUGACUGUGAUAGGGAAUGAAAAUGACUGCCCUCAACAGUUCAUUUGUUCAUUCACUCAGCAGACACUUAUUCCCUUUCAAGUGCUGAGACCGGUCCAGGUAUUGCCAACUAGUUCUGUAGUAACUACAUUCCAUUAGAACUUUACAUAUUCUCUGCUAAACUAUUACAUAAUCCAUUUGUAGAAGACAUCACAAUAGAUAUACACUUCCUUAUUUCUUUAAUUAUUUGCCUGAUUAUGAUAAUCUCUGCACUAUGCUAAUAUAAUGGAAUAGAAAAGAUUGACUUUUAUAAUUUUUUUGUAUCCUUUAUCAACAGCUUCAGUGUGUUUAUUGUAAGAUGCAUUUUCUAUUACAACUAUUAUUCUGAAUAUGAACUAUCAUUUAUUUAUGAGAGUUUUGUUAGAGGUGUAUAAUGAUCACAUAUCUUACUUUAAGCAAACACUUCUUAUCAUAGAUGAUGUUCUGGCCUAGGAUUUAAUGAUUCAGUCUUUGAACUCCAUUUUCCUGUCAUUUGUUUGGCCGCCUUUCAAAUACUUCCCUCAAACUGCUUAAGUAGUAAAAUUUAUCACAUAUAUUCUCAUUGAUGAUGAAGAUGUUGCCAUUAAUACAAUGCAGUGGUGGUAGCAGAUCCUGAAUAAUCUAUAUACUGUCUGGGCAAUUGUGUAUCCAUUCCCAACUUAUGCAAAUAGGUUAUUUGACAGUUUAGCAUUAGCACAUCUAAAUAAUUAAAAUGUAGUUAUUGUAGUACUAAUACAGUAGUUUUUUGUAAAGACCCAGUUUUUAUUUAAUUUUUGUUUUGAAGCUAGCCUUUAAUUGAGCCAUCUCUCCAGUGUUCCCCAUCCCUCACUUAUUUUUCAUUCUUUAUAGUUUUGGUUUUUGUUUUGGUUUGGUUUUUUGUUUUGUUUUUUUGAGGCAGGCCUCUAUAAAGUCAUGUAACUCACAGAGAUCCACCUACCUGCCUCUGCUGUGAUUCUGACUUCAGUUUUUCUUUAUAAGAAAAUGUUUGGGCUGGGUGUGUGGCUUGGGUGGAGUACUAGCCUAGCAUUUGUGAGCUCCUAGGUUCAGUCACAAAAAAAAAGAGAGGAAGGAAAAGGAAAGUUUUACCUAUUUUCCUUUAUGCUUAAAUUAUUUCUCCAUUCAGUUUUAAAUACAUUAUUUGAUUUUGAAUGUCUAGUUCAUAAUGAGUUUAUUUGAAAUGCUAACUAGUGUUUAUGAUGCAUGUUAUCUGUUUCCAGCUGGAAGGCCAUAAUGAACCAGUGGUGUUGCAGGUAUUUGUGGGCAAUGAUUCUGGUCGAGUAAAACCACAUGGAUUCUAUCAGGCCUGUAGAGUAACUGGGCGAAAUACAACUCCCUGCAAAGAAGUGGACAUUGAAGGUACCACUGUUAUAGAAGUUGGUCUUGAUCCUAGCAACAACAUGACACUGGCGUAAGUACUUUAAUAAAUUCCCCCUCCCUUUUUUUGUUUGUUUAAGAUUUAUUUAUUAUGUGUACAGCAUUCUGGCUGCAUACAUGGCUGCAGGUCAAAAGAGGGCACCAGCUCUCACUAUAGAUGGUUGUGAGCCACCAUGUGGUUGCUGGGAAUUGAACUCAGGACCUCUAGGAGGAGCAACCAGUGAGUGCUCUUAACCACUGAGCCAUCUCUCCAGCCUCCCCCAUCUCCCCCCCUUUUUUUUUUAAACAAAAUUUUGUAAGUUACUCUGAUUAGCCUAGAACCCUCUGUGUAGACCAGGCUGGCCUCAAAUUCACAGAGAUCUGCCACCUGAAUGCUAGGAUUAAAGAUGUGAUCCACUGUGCCUGGCAGCUUUUUAUGUUUUAUUUAUUUGUUAGUUUAUUGAGUUUUUGUUGUUUUGGGGGGAUUUUUUUUUUUUUGGUUUGUUUCUUUUUUUGUUUUGUUUUUUGUUUUAUAGAUAGGCUCUUUCUACAUUGUGCCCUGGCUGUCCUAGAACUAAUGUGUAGACCACUGGACCACCCUCUGCCUCCUGAGUCCUGGGAUUUAAAGUGUGCACCACCAUACCUGGCUCUUAGCAAAUUUUAAAAUAGAUUUAUUUUACUUAUGUGUAUGCUAUAUCCCUAUGUGAGUUUCUGUGCAAUAUGUGUGUGCAGUUGCCCACAGAAACAAGAGGAAGAUAUUGGAUCUCCUGGAACUAGAAUGACCAACCUACAUAGCUGCUAGGAACCCAACCAAGCAGCAAGUGCUCUUAACCUCUGAGCCAUCUCUCUUAGCUCCCAAGAAUUUUUUUUAUUAUAUUAUAUUCUUAUGAUAAUCAUGAAAAUACUGGGUUUCUCUUUGAGGCCCUGGCUAUCCUGGAACUGACUCUGUAGACCAGACUGGUCUCAAAUUUAUAGAGAUGCACCUGCCCCUGCCUUCUGAGUGCUGGGAUUAAAGGUUUGCACCACCACCACAGGAUGAUUUUCUUAGGACCUUAUUAAAAUGUUUUAAAUAGAACAAUCUGUUCUUACAGGACUAUAGAGAUGGCUCAGCCGUUAAAAGCUAGGAUCACUCCAAAAAGACAAAAGGGCUUCUUCCAGAAUGGUUUCAGACUGAAUUGCAUUCAAGUUUUGCUUUCCUAAAGAGUUCCCAAAGCAGGGAAAUAAAGGCCAAAGAACAUGCUGGCUUUUUUAGAAGAUAAGAUCAAGACUUGCUUAUUGAAAUUUUAAUUAAUAUACUAAAAAUAAAAAUUGUAUGGUCAGGGGUCUGGGGAUAUAGCUUAGUUGGUGUAGUACUUGUCUAGUUAUGAGUAAAGCUCGAGGUUGGACCCCAGCACUACAUGACCUCUGUGUGGUGGUGCAUGUCUAUAGCCCAAACGCUCUGAGGUGGAGGCAAGAGAGCCAGAAGUUCAAGGUCAUACUUGACUAUGUAGUUGUUUGUACUCUAUUUCUAAAAGAAAACAGAAAAAAUAUACACUUCAAAAUUUGACCUAGAGAAAUGGCUCAGAGGGUAAAAGCACCUGCCACCAAUCCCGAUAACCUGGUUUUGAUACUAGAACCCAAAUGGUAGGAGAGUACUGAGUCACAAAAGGUUGUCUUCUGAGCCCCACACAGACCUUGCUGUGCAUGCUCCCAACAAUGGAUGGAUGAUGUUUUAAAAAUUCUACAAAUAAUAGCUAUUAUAUUGUUUGUUUGUUUGUUUUGAAACAGGCUUUCC
Molecule: long non-coding RNA, 5440 nt
Filed under: Mus musculus (house mouse)
Lineage: Eukaryota; Metazoa; Chordata; Mammalia; Rodentia; Muridae
Description: long non-coding RNA chr8:107344136-107349576
Source: RNAcentral